RNAcentral lists this ribosomal RNA (243 nucleotides) under Triticum aestivum (bread wheat). RNAcentral's name for it is "partial small subunit ribosomal RNA". The record is from RNAcentral. Lineage: Eukaryota; Viridiplantae; Streptophyta; Magnoliopsida; Poales; Poaceae.
CUUAAACUUCUGUGCUUGGUGGAAAAGAAGCGAACAAAGGUAUGCUCGCUUGCUGUUUUGUUUUCUGCUGCAGAUUGUGAUCGCUCGCCAGCUAGGCCCUCUAGAAAAAAGUUGGAGCAACAUUGUAUGAGAACAUAUUGCCGAUCUUCGGGGACAAGGGACGGGACGACCGGUGGGGAGAAUCUUAUUUCAUGUUCAGAGAGCCGCCAUCAUUUUGUCUUCCUGGACAGAACAAAACCUUAA